RNAcentral lists this ribosomal RNA (492 nucleotides) under Oligodon taeniatus. RNAcentral describes it as "partial 12S ribosomal RNA". It matches the Rfam family "Bacterial small subunit ribosomal RNA", at positions 794 to 1522 of the family's 1533-position model. Lineage: Eukaryota; Metazoa; Chordata; Lepidosauria; Squamata; Colubridae. The record is from RNAcentral.
GCCCAGCCUUAACAUAACAAUUAAAUAACCCAUUGUUCGCCAAAUAACUACGAGUUACAACUUAAAAUUUAAAAGACUUGACGGUACCCCACAACAACCUAGAGGAGCCUGUCUAAUAAACGAUACCCCACGAUUAACCCAACCCACCAUAGCCAUCCAGUCUAUAUACCGCCGUCGCCAGCCAUCCUCCUGAGAGAACAAAAGUAAGCCAAACAGUUUAACCACUAACACGACAGGUCAAGGUGUAACUAAUAGGUGGUGAUAAGAUGGGCUACAUUAUCUACCCAGAAUAUACGAAUUAAACUUUGAAAAGUCAACUGAAGGCGGAUUUAGCAGUAUCUUAAGGACAAAACACUUAAUUGAAACAUUCGCAAUGGGGUGCGCACACACCGCCCGUCAUCCCUGUCAGCACAGCGAUACAUAUAGCUAUACACACACACUACCAGGGCAAGUCGUAACAUGGUAAGCGUACUGGAAAGUGCGCUUAGAAAC